RNAcentral lists this ribosomal RNA (306 nucleotides) under uncultured bacterium. Its description in RNAcentral is "bacterial SSU rRNA". It matches the Rfam family "Bacterial small subunit ribosomal RNA", at positions 28 to 334 of the family's 1533-position model. The record is from RNAcentral.
GACGAACGCUGGCGGCGUGCUUAACACAUGCAAGUCGAACGAUGAAGCCCAGCUUGCUGGGUGGAAGAGUGGCGAACGGGUGAGUAACACGUGAGUAACCUGCCCUUAACUUCGGGAUAAGCGCUGGAAACGGCGUCUAAUACUGGAUAUGAGCAGCUCCUGCAUGGGGGUUGUUGGAAAGAUUUAUCGGUUUUGGAUGGACUCGCGGCCUAUCAGCUUGUUGGUGAGGUAAUGGCUCACCAAGGCGACGACGGGUAGCCGGCCUGAGAGGAUGACCGGCCACACUGGGACUGAGACACGGCCCAG